ACCUAAUGCAGGAAUCAAAAAAAGGCUUUCAGACUUUAGUUGCUAUUUCCAACUGAAUUUUAUUCUAAGCAUUUAGAGAUCUUGUUGUCGGGCCUUGCACAUCUUAAAAUGGAUUUACAUGUAGAAUCAUAAGUAAUCUAGGCUCAAUCUGUUUUGCUGAAAAUAACCUGUUCAAAAAUUUACUAAAGAACACAUUUUCUGAGAAAAUAUUAGGACAUCAAUUUUUAAUUACACUUCAAAAAUUAAAAGAUGCAUGUACCAUAACAUGGAAAAAUGCUAUUUCAUUAAAAUUUACAGAGUUAUAAUUUUUAGGCCGAGUUGCUAAUUCUUAACUAUUUAAUGACAAAAUGCAGGCUUUUUGAUAAAUAAAUAAAUAAAUAUGUCUUUGCUUAUUGCAUUUUCUGUAUCACCAUUAAAUGGCUUUUCUCAAUAAGAACUCCAUCAAACACAAGGUGAAGCUGAAGAAGUCAUUUUGGUGCACCCUUUCACGGUUUCACCAACUCCCUAAUGUCUUAGGUGCACGUCCAAGAAAUUACAACAAAUAUUUUCUCAGUAAAAACCACAUCCAAGAUUUCACACAUUCAUCUUUACCUGGGCAGUCCUACAAAAUUGACAUUUCUAUCCUGCUGAGGUGCUGGUCUAUGAAAUAAAUUAUUUUGCUUUCUCAAACUUCAACUUACAUGAUCUUUUUAUUAGUCAUUGACGCUAAUUGAAAUAACCUGAACUUGCCCCAGCUCCAAAUAGAAGUUGCCAGCACAUCAGACCUAGGAUGCACAAAAAGGGGAGUUG
This 789-nucleotide unclassified non-coding RNA is filed under the name Hevea brasiliensis (rubber tree). Lineage: Eukaryota; Viridiplantae; Streptophyta; Magnoliopsida; Malpighiales; Euphorbiaceae. The record is from RNAcentral.